GAAAGAUGGUUUCGGCUAUCGCUUACAGAUGGGCCCGCGGUGCAUUAGCUAGUUGGUAGGGUAAUGGCCUACCAAGGCAACGAUGCAUAGCCGACCUGAGAGGGUGAUCGGCCACACUGGGACUGAGACACGGCCCAGACUCCUACGGGAGGCAGCAGUAGGGAAUCUUCCGCAAUGGACGAAAGUCUGACGGAGCAACGCCGCGUGUAUGAAGAAGGUUUUCGGAUCGUAAAGUACUGUUGUUAGAGAAGAACAAGGAUAAGAGUAACUGCUUGUCCCUUGACGGUAUCUAACCAGAAAGCCACGGCUAACUACGUGCCAGCAGCCGCGGUAAUACGUAGGUGGCAAGCGUUGUCCGGAUUUAUU
This 366-nucleotide ribosomal RNA is filed under the name Listeria monocytogenes. Its description in RNAcentral is "bacterial SSU rRNA". It matches the Rfam family "Bacterial small subunit ribosomal RNA", at positions 202 to 555 of the family's 1533-position model. The record is from RNAcentral. Lineage: Bacteria; Bacillati; Bacillota; Bacilli; Caryophanales; Listeriaceae.